Long non-coding RNA from Mus musculus (house mouse), 402 nucleotides. RefSeq annotates it as predicted gene, 41867. Lineage: Eukaryota; Metazoa; Chordata; Mammalia; Rodentia; Muridae. The transcript is spliced from 3 exons. The record is from RefSeq and is a predicted model, not a curated record.
CAUUACUCCAGCGAGAUGCCUCUUGGACAUCACAGAUGCUCUUUCAUAGAAAGAGAGCCUGCUUUGCUUGCUUGCUCGUCCGUACCUCCAUUCCCAGCUCUAUAUCUAGGCUUUUUGGAGCUUAACUAAGAGCCAUGCCGCUCUCCAUUUCGAUUAUGCAUUUUAUAAAGAUCUUGUGAGCUUACCAUUGCAAAUCAAGGUGGUAACCCUCCAGUGUGCUUUGCUGGUUGUAUGUAAGUUAAAUAACAGAUGUGGAACAAUCUAUCACCACACACGUUGCAAGAAGCUACUGGGUUGUCCUCAUGUCAGAAGAUUCCAGUGUGCACCUAGCUUAGUGUUCGUGGUUAAUUCAUCCUCCGUAUCCAGCAGAGCUAUUUCACUGCUCAAUUUAUCCACCUUUAU